Long non-coding RNA from Gossypium raimondii (Peruvian cotton), 428 nucleotides. RefSeq lists it as uncharacterized. The transcript has 2 exons. The record is from RefSeq and is a predicted model, not a curated record. NCBI's taxonomy places the organism in Eukaryota, Viridiplantae, Streptophyta, Magnoliopsida, Malvales, Malvaceae.
AAAAGAAAAGAAAGGAAGCCACUAUCAUAUCAUCUUCUCCACUGUCGAAACUGGAGAAAGAAGAAAAAGAGAAAAGCUUGGCUAAGGUUCGGCCAUUGGGAGUUAGAUUAAGGUUAUCUGGAUUCCAUGAGAGACCCAUCAAAGCUUAAAAAGCUUGGCAUAUCCAUGGUGGGAUUUUAUUUCUGACAAUGAAUUUUUUCCUUGUAAGGGAAGACCAUCUACAAAUCAAUGCUUGUUAUUACCAUCAUUAGGAAACCAAAGUACCUGUUCUUUCUUUUACCUUCUCAUCUCAUCAUUAUGUUUCUUUACACAACUUUCUUUUACCCCUGCUUAUGAUUAUGUUCAGUACCCCAGAUUUCCUUUACCUUUUUAAAAUUUGUGACUAAUUUGGGUUUUAAAUCGAGUUUAUUUAUUAUUUAGAGUUUGAA